AUCCAGCUGACGAGUCGCAAAUAGGAUGAAACACGCGUCAUAGAU
Schistosoma rodhaini is the source of this 45-nucleotide non-coding RNA. Lineage: Eukaryota; Metazoa; Platyhelminthes; Trematoda; Strigeidida; Schistosomatidae. The record is from Rfam.